Molecule: ribosomal RNA, 370 nt
Filed under: uncultured bacterium
Lineage: Bacteria
Description: bacterial SSU rRNA
Rfam family: Bacterial small subunit ribosomal RNA
Source: RNAcentral
CAGCAGCCGCGGUAAUACGGAGGGUGCAAGCGUUAAUCGGAAUCACUGGGCGUAAAGCGCACGUAGGCGGCUUGGUAAGUCAGGGGUGAAAUCCCACAGCCCAACUGUGGAACUGCCUUUGAUACUGCCAGGCUUGAGUACCGGAGAGGGUGGCGGAAUUCCAGGUGUAGGAGUGAAAUCCGUAGAUAUCUGGAGGAACACCGGUGGCGAAGGCGGCCACCUGGACGGUAACUGACGCUGAGGUGCGAAAGCGUGGGUAGCAAACAGGAUUAGAUACCCUGGUAGUCCACGCUGUAAACGAUGGGUGCUGGGUGCUGGGAUGUAUGUCUCGGUGCCGUAGCUAACGCGAUAAGCACCCCGCCUGGGGAGU